UUCUUUUAAUCGUGUUCUGCAGCAUUUGCAGCAAUGGUUGAAAAAAACUGAUACAUGUCUUAUAGUUCUCUGGAUACUUCUCAGUGUCUUUCUCAGGUUCCCUUGAAAAAUGUUUAUGCAUUUCUCAAGGCAUGCUACCUUGAGUUUGUUGACAUGUGAACCUUGCAAAAUAUAGAUAUAAGCAUGGUUAAUAAAAUCUCAAAAUAUAGAUAAACAAGAGGUAUAAGGAAACCGAC
RNAcentral lists this long non-coding RNA (236 nucleotides) under Vitis vinifera (wine grape). RNAcentral describes it as "long non-coding RNA (VVIN_LNC004924)". The record is from RNAcentral. Lineage: Eukaryota; Viridiplantae; Streptophyta; Magnoliopsida; Vitales; Vitaceae.